UAGUGGUUGGGGUGAGAGAGAUAGUGGUUGGGGUGAGAGAUAGAGAGUGGUUGGGGUGAGAGAAAGAGAGUAGUUGGGGUGAGAGAGAGAGAGUGGUUGGGGUGAGAGAGAUAGAUAGUGGUUGGGGUGAGAGAGAUAGUGGUUGGGGUGAGAGAGAGAUAGUGGUUGGGGUGAGAGAUAUAGAGAGUGGUUGGGGUGAGAGAGAUAGAUAGUGGUUGGGGUGAGAGAGAUAGUGGUUGGGGUGAGAGAGAGAUAGUGGUUGGGGUGAGAGAUAGAUAGUGGUUGGGGUGAGAGAGAGAUAGUGGUUGGGGUGAGAGAGAGAUAGUGGUUGGGGUGAGAGAAAGAGAGUGGUUGGGGUGAGAGAGAGAUAGUGGUUGGGGUGAGAGAGAGAAAUAGUGGUUGGGGUGAGAGAGAGAUAGUGGUUGGGGUGAGAGAUAGAUAGUGGUUGGGGUGAGAGAUAGAGAGUGGUUGGGGGAGAGAAAGAGUGAAGUUGGGGUGAGAGAGAUAGAUAGUGGUUGGGGUGAGAGAGAUAGUGGUUGGGGUGAGAGAUAGAGAGUGGUUGGGGUGAGAGAAAGAGAGUAGUUGGGGUGAGAGAGAGAGAUAGAUAGUGGUUGGGGUGAGAGAGAUAGUGGUUGGGGUGAGAGAUAGAUAGUGGUUGGGGUGAGAGAUAGAUAGUGGUUGGGGUGAGAGAUAGAUAGUGGUUGGGGUGAGAGAUAGAAAGUAGUUGGGGUGAUAGAUAGAGAUUGGUUGGGGUGAGAGAGAGAUUGUGGUGUGGGUGAGAGAGAGAUAGUGGUUGGGGUGAGAGAAAGAGAGUGGUUGGGGUGAGAGAGAGAGAUAGUGGUUGGGGUGAGAGAGAUAGUGGUUGGGGUGAGAGAGAUAGUGGUUGGGGUGAGAGAUAGAUAGUGGUUGGGGUGAGAGAUAGAUAGUGGUUGGGGUGAGAGAUAGAUAGUGGUUGGGGUGAAAGAGAGAUAGUGGUUGGGGUGAGAGAGAUAGUGUGGUUGGGGUGAGAGAGAGAUAGUGGUUGGGGUGAGAGAUAGAUAGUGGUUGGGGUGAGAGAUAGAUCGUGGUUGGGGUGAGAGAUAGAUAGUGGUUGGGGUGAGAGAUAGAUAGUAGUUGGGGUGAGAGAUAGAUAGUGGUUGGGGUGAGAGAUAGAGAGUGUAUUUGGGGUGAGAGAUAGAUAGUAGUUGGGGUGAGAGAUAGAUAGUGGUUGGGGUGAGAGAUAAAUAGUAGUUGGGGUGAGAG
This is a long non-coding RNA of Oncorhynchus tshawytscha (Chinook salmon), 1242 nucleotides long. NCBI's taxonomy places the organism in Eukaryota, Metazoa, Chordata, Actinopteri, Salmoniformes, Salmonidae. The record is from Ensembl.